RNAcentral lists this long non-coding RNA (407 nucleotides) under Coturnix japonica (Japanese quail). RNAcentral describes it as "lncRNA (ENSCJPG00005006930.1)". Lineage: Eukaryota; Metazoa; Chordata; Aves; Galliformes; Phasianidae. The record is from RNAcentral.
GCAAUAAGUGCAUGAAAGCAAACUGAAAAUCCCCCGAAACUUGGCGUAUUUUCAGAGAGGUAACCACUGAGGUGAUGUAAUGCUACUCCACGUUGGACCCAUCUGUGUUUGUUGAAAAGGGUAGUGAAAUAUUCAGAGAUUUUGAUAAAAUACUGCACAUCUGGAAAAUAGAUAAAUGUUUUCCACCUAUAUAAUGGAAAUGAAAGUAUUUAACUUGGGUUAAAUGCAAUUGGAUUCAAAGUAAACAGAACAAAAAAAAAAACAAAAAAGGAACCAGGUAAGCUGAGUUAACACUAAACUGUGCUGAACCAGAACGUACUUUUUCAUUUCUUGUUUUGUAACACCUUGAUAAAAGAUGUAUUCCUUUUCUGUAGGAUACAUUCUUUUUUCCUGAAACAUGAGUGCCU